CCUACGGGGGGCAGCAGUGAGGAAUAUUGGUCAAUGGACGCAAGUCUGAACCAGCCAUGCCGCGUGCAGGAAGACGGCUCUAUGAGUUGUAAACUGCUUUUGUACGAGGGUAAACGGAGAUACGCGUAUCUGUCUGAAAGUAUCUUACGAAUAAGGAUCGGCUAACUCCGUGCCAGCAGCCGCGGUAAUACGGAGGAUUCAAGCGUUAUCCGGAUUUAUUGGGUUUAAAGGGAGCGUAGGCGGGCGGAUAAGUCAGAGGUGAAAUCCCGAGGCUCAACUUCGGAAUUGCCGCUGAUACUGUUAGGCUAGAGAGUAGUUGCGGUAGGCGGAAUGUAUGGUGUAGCGGUGAAAUGCUUAGAGAUCAUACAGAACACCGAUUGCGAAGGCAGCUUACCAAGCUACUUCUGACGUUGAGGCACGAAAGCGUGGGGAGCAAACAGGAUUAGAUACCCCAGUAGUC
RNAcentral lists this ribosomal RNA (460 nucleotides) under uncultured bacterium. RNAcentral's name for it is "partial 16S ribosomal RNA". It matches the Rfam family "Bacterial small subunit ribosomal RNA", at positions 338 to 795 of the family's 1533-position model. The record is from RNAcentral.